RNAcentral lists this long non-coding RNA (468 nucleotides) under Mus musculus (house mouse). RNAcentral describes it as "Mir181a-1 and Mir181b-1 host gene". The record is from RNAcentral. Lineage: Eukaryota; Metazoa; Chordata; Mammalia; Rodentia; Muridae.
AGAACUGCAGAUAGUACGGUGGAGCAGGGAUGCCUGAGCACAAGUAGCGAGUUCCGAGUGACUUUAGGAAAUGCUUCCCCCCCUUCCUGGGCAUGCAAACAAGACUCUGCACCUGCACCGCAGUUUGUUCCGGAGAGAAGCCUCGGCUUCGCCCUGCAGGGACGAGGAACUAGAGCAAGAAGCAGCAUUUGAAAAUUGAACGGCUCUGAGAAUUGCAGAGACAAAACCAAUUGAUGUUCCCGGCAAGCUACCCUUGGGAGGAUUGAGUUCUCACACUACUCUUCACCCCUAUACCAACCAACUUCCUAAUCUCUUCAUCAAAUGCAGCAUAGCCUUUACAUGCACUCUUCCCUUCUAUACAUCGACAGGAUGUCCCAGUAAAACUGUCUAAUGUGGACGCUUAAAUAAUAGAAUAUGGGGAAAUAUCUAGGAAAAUACCCCAUCAUAUAAAAAACUACUUGAGAUUCA